CUUCCCAAGGGACCUCCAGGAGACUUGGUACAGCAGAGAUCGCCUGUCCGGGAGCUACCCGUGAGUCGCGUGCAACUAUAGAUAAGAUUGCAGGAGUGACGCUGCCAGCAAAAAUCAUCCGGGAUAACUAUCGGCCACAAGACCACUGAUCAGCAUGGGUGGUCAGCGUGUGGGGGUACCUCACUGGAGCCCCAGAAACCCUGUUUUGCAAGACUGGGAAAAACCGCACACCUGGAACGCUGAGGCGGAUCAAUAAAACUUUAAUAUGUUAUAACUCAGUUGUGAAUUCUCCGAUCAUGUUGCUUUUUGGACAGUAUGUGCAAUUGGCCACCAGCUUUAAAGUGAUGUAAAGUGAUAUUGUGGGGAUAUGUUGUCUUACAUGAAGUUAUUGUGGAAUAUAAAAAUAUCUAAUAACCCUUGUAUGGGAAAUACCCACCCACUCUGGGCAUGAACCCUAAUAACGUUAAAAAAGAAAAGAAAAUAGGGAAGAUCUCCUGAGGAGAAAUCCCCAUUGGGAUACAAAAUGGUUUCUGGGUAAUACAUUUU
This is a non-coding RNA of Pelobates cultripes (western spadefoot toad), 546 nucleotides long. The record is from the annotation of a GenBank genome assembly. Lineage: Eukaryota; Metazoa; Chordata; Amphibia; Anura; Pelobatidae.